RNAcentral lists this transfer RNA (83 nucleotides) under bovine gut metagenome. It matches the Rfam family "tRNA". From Rfam's summary of the family: Transfer RNA (tRNA) molecules are approximately 80 nucleotides in length. The record is from RNAcentral.
GAGAUGUGUCCGAGUGGUCUAUGGUGACUGACUUGAAAUCAGUUGAAGGUAAAACUUCCGUGGGUUCGAAUCCUACCAUCUCC